UGAGAUACUGUUUGCAGAAGGAUUAACACACUAACUUAGAACUAUCUUGUAACUUAGAUUACAUUGAUACGCUGAGAUGCUUCAUGACUAAUUGGAGUUCUUCUCGGGUACAUCCCCGGAGUGGCUGAAUUCAGCUUUUAGACUAACUUCUUUCAAAAAGGGAGUGAUAGUUAGGACGACAAUACUUAAAUAAGUGUAAAUUAUCAAGUAUAUUAAAACUAAUGCUUACGCAAAGUGCUCAACACUCUUUCUUUGACACGACUGUAGCGUGGCUUGACCUAUUAGCAGUGUUACUUAAUCGAGUUGUACAGAAUUCUGUUUAAAAACUAGUUAGUUUCGAAGGACCAUUGACAAUAAUUACUUUUACUGAUAAUACCUGAUAAGUAACUACUGAUUUGAAGACACUUGACUCAGAAGGAACAUUAACCGAGAUCGGCCACCAAGAAGACGCUGAACACAGCACCCCUGGCGGCCUUACACAUACUAUAAAUCAAAAAUAGUGGGCUUGCGAACUAGUCGGCCCGACCUAGUUAAUUGUCCGUCAGCUGGCGGGUCGUGAUCAGCAACACUAACAGAAUUUCCACUAGAUGGCGGUGACUGUGAAAAAAACUGGAAUAAUUCGUCUGCUUGAGAAUAGAGAAAUAGUUAAUCUGCUUUAGAAGUCGCGUUGACGUAAGCACGUCUUGCGUUUAUUGACUAAUGUUUCAAAAUGUUGGUAGUGAAACAAAACUUUGUUUUGGCUUGAUGAGAAACCAAGAUCCUUUUCUCAAAUGGAAAAAGACUCUACUGGACAGAUGUAAUCUGCAUGAAAGAGAUUGCACUUGUAAAAUUUUCUGAACCUUAUCCUUGAAAAAACUCUUCAUUAGGCUCUAGUAGUUAUAUCAUAGUUGUCUUGUGGCUACCAAUAGCGGCCAUGCCAUGUUUGACAGCAUCUAGUUGUAUUUGUAGUCUGUGAAAAGAAAAUUAAUACAGGCAUUAUGAAACAACAAA
Daphnia magna is the source of this 990-nucleotide long non-coding RNA. RefSeq lists it as uncharacterized. Lineage: Eukaryota; Metazoa; Arthropoda; Branchiopoda; Diplostraca; Daphniidae. The record is from RefSeq and is a predicted model, not a curated record. The transcript is spliced from 4 exons.